Manihot esculenta (cassava) is the source of this 1850-nucleotide RNA transcript. It is a transcript of the gene named transcription factor bHLH63, with no coding region annotated. NCBI's taxonomy places the organism in Eukaryota, Viridiplantae, Streptophyta, Magnoliopsida, Malpighiales, Euphorbiaceae. The transcript has 7 exons. The record is from RefSeq and is a predicted model, not a curated record.
CCAGUUGCCUCUCUCUCUCUCUCGUAAUAAUCCCCGGCCAGUUGUUGUCAGAUUCCGGCCACCUUUCUCAGCUCAUUUAUAUAUACCCCCGCCCUCCCCUCUCUCCCCCUUUACCCUUCACAUUAUUUCCUCUUUCUUUCUUUCCUUCCACUCGAAACCUGAAAAUAAUCUCCAAAUCCCAAUACCCUUUCCACUCACACGUAUCCAUACAUGCCCCUAUCUGCAGCAGUGUAUGUACUUCGUCUAUCACUCUUCUCACUAACUCCCACUAGAGUAAUAUCCUUUUUCCCUCCCCCUGCGUACUUUAGCGGCAACCACCCACUGCUAAUCUUUCACUUUUUCUGUUCUUUCUCUCUCUAUCUUUUGGCUUUUCUACCUCUUCAUUGUGUGGUUGUUCGGGACCAUGAAUAGAGCAUUGUUGCCGGAGAUGUUGCACUGUACGGACAUGACAGUGCUUGAGAGACAAAGGGCUCGCUUUAAAUGGCAACAAGAACAAGAGCUACAACAGCAACAGCAGCAGCACCAUCAGCAAGAGAGUUUUUUUGGCGAUUUGAGUGGGGUGUUUCAGUUGCAGCUACAGCAUCAGGGGCUCCAGGGUGAUCUAGGUGAGGUCGUGACUCGGUCUGUGAAGCCUGACCCUGCUUCGAUGGAUAACGGCUGGCCUGGUUUGGUGGGGUUUGGUCCUUCUGGAUAUGAGAAUAACAAUGGGUCUGGUUUUGAUGUCAAUUAUGCUAUUUCUAGGACUUCCAGCUGCCAACCAGCUGUGGCGGGGGCUGCGGUGGAUGCUACGGUUUUGGCCGAAAGCAGAGAGCCUGUUAUGUCAGAGAAGUUGAGUCCUGGAGUUGGCAGAGAGAAUUUGAAGAAAAGAAAGGUCGAUAAACUGCAGCAUAACACAAAGGUCGUUGCAGAAGAUGAAAGCAGGGACAAAAGGGUCAAAGGAUGUGCAGGGGAAGGAGAGUCAAUGAACACAGAAAAAAAUAAUAACAAGAGCAGCAGCACCAGCAAAAACAGUACCAAAGAAAAUUCUGCAGAGACAUCCAAGGAUAAUUCAAAAGUAACAGAGGUUCAAAAACCAGAUUACAUUCAUGUCCGAGCACGCAGAGGUCAAGCCACUGACAGCCAUAGCUUAGCUGAAAGAGUGAGAAGGGAAAAAAUCAGCGAGAGAAUGAAGUACCUGCAGGAUUUGGUACCAGGAUGUAAUAAAAUUACAGGAAAAGCAGGCAUGCUUGACGAAAUCAUUAACUAUGUUCAAUCUCUUCAACGACAAGUAGAGUUCUUGUCCAUGAAACUAGCUGCUGUCAAUCCCAGGCUUGAAUUUAACAUUGAUAACGUAUUUGCCAAAGAGCAGGCGUUUCCUGCUCCUACAACCAAUUUUCCAGAAACUGGGAUGUCGUCAGAUUUGACUAAUCCUGUCUACCUUCAAUUUAAUCAAGCACAGCAACAGCAACAGCAACAGCAGCAGCAGCUAUUCAGUUCUUCAGGAUCUAUCCCUGAAAUGUUCAUUGACCCUUCUUGCUUCACUCAUAUUCAGCCCUCAUCAACUUGGGAUGCUGUUUCUGAUCUACAAAAAAUCUUUACAAUGUAGCAUUUGAACAAGGAAGAUCAACAUCCUUCACAACUCAGCCAUUUACAGGUAAAGAUAAGAGGCACCAUUGAAGCAAGUAAUCUGAAGAUGGAGAUGUGAAUGAGAAUAUGGAUUUGAUAGGAUUCUUGGAAGAGAGAUUUAUUUCUAAUGCAAUUUGAUCUUGAUUCUUUUUUUUUUUUUUCUUCUCUUAAGUACAUACCGUAUAUAUUUGUAUGUAUACUUGCAAUGACAUAGUAUGAAUAAAAUCAAAACUAUUAACAUCAAA